RNAcentral lists this ribosomal RNA (809 nucleotides) under uncultured bacterium. RNAcentral's name for it is "bacterial SSU rRNA". It matches the Rfam family "Bacterial small subunit ribosomal RNA", at positions 56 to 883 of the family's 1533-position model. The record is from RNAcentral.
UGCAAGUCGAACGGUAAGGCCCUUCGGGGUACACGAGUGGCGAACGGGUGAGUAACACGUGGGUAAUCUGCCCUGCACUUCGGGAUAAGCCUGGGAAACUGGGUCUAAUACCGGAUAUGAGCUCCUGCCGCAUGGUGGGGGUUGGAAAGUUUUUCGGUGCAGGAUGGGCCCGCGGCCUAUCAGCUUGUUGGUGGGGUAAUGGCCUACCAAGGCGACGACGGGUAGCCGGCCUGAGAGGGUGAUCGGCCACACUGGGACUGAGACACGGCCCAGACUCCUACGGGAGGCAGCAGUGGGGAAUAUUGCACAAUGGGCGAAAGCCUGAUGCAGCGACGCCGCGUGGGGGAUGACGGUCUUCGGAUUGUAAACCCCUUUCAGUAGGGACGAAGCGCAAGUGACGGUACCUGCAGAAGAAGCACCGGCCAACUACGUGCCAGCAGCCGCGGUAAUACGUAGGGUGCGAGCGUUGUCCGGAAUUACUGGGCGUAAAGAGCUCGUAGGCGGUUUGUUACGUCGUCUGUGAAAUCCUCCAGCUUAACUGGGGGCGUGCAGGCGAUACGGGCAGACUUGAGUACUACAGGGGAGACUGGAAUUCCUGGUGUAGCGGUGAAAUGCGCAGAUAUCACGAGGAACACCGGUGGCGAAGGCGGGUCUCUGGGUAGUAACUGACGCUGAGGAGCGAAAGCAUGGGGAGCAAACAGGAUUAGAUACCCUGGUAGUCCAUGCCGUAAACGGUGGGCGCUAGGUGUGGGGGUCUUCCACGACUUCUGUGCCGCAGCUAACGCAUUAAGCGCCCGCCUGGGGAGUAC